CAGCACCUCAAGUGGUCAGGAUGAUUAUUGGGCCUAAAGCAUCCGUAGCCGGCGCUGUAAGUUUUCGGUUAAAUCUGUACGCUCAACGUACAGGCUGCCGGGAAUACUGCAGCGCUAGGGAGUGGGAGAGGUAGACGGUACUCGGUAGGAUGGGGUAAAAUCCUUUGAUCUAUUGAUGACCACCUGUGGCGAAGGCGGUCUACCAGAACACGUCCGGCGGUGAGGGAUGAAAGCUGGGGGAGCAAACCGGAUUAGAUACCCGAGUAGUCC
This 270-nucleotide ribosomal RNA is filed under the name uncultured archaeon. Its description in RNAcentral is "partial 16S ribosomal RNA". It matches the Rfam family "Archaeal small subunit ribosomal RNA", at positions 477 to 747 of the family's 1478-position model. The record is from RNAcentral.